This 537-nucleotide ribosomal RNA is filed under the name uncultured prokaryote. Its description in RNAcentral is "bacterial SSU rRNA". It matches the Rfam family "Archaeal small subunit ribosomal RNA", at positions 739 to 1273 of the family's 1478-position model. The record is from RNAcentral.
GGGUAGUCCAGGGUGUAAACGCUGCUUGCUUGAUGUUAGUUGGGCUCCGAGCCCAACUAGUGUCGGAGAGAAGUUGUUAAGCAAGCUGCCUGGGAAGUACGGUCGCAAGGCUGAAACUUAAAGGAAUUGGCGGGGGAGCACAGCAACGGGUGGAGCGUGCGGUUUAAUUGGAUUCAACGCCGGAAAACUCACCGGAGGCGACGGUUACAUGAAGGCCAGGCUGAUGACCUUGCCUGAUUUUCCGAGAGGUGGUGCAUGGCCGCCGUCAGUUCGUACCGUAAGGCGUUCUGUUAAGUCAGACAACGAACGAGACCCUCAUCUUUAAUUGCUACUGGUAAGUUCGCUUACUGGGCACAUUAGAGAAACCGCUGGCGAUAAGUCAGAGGAAGGCGAGGGCAACGGUAGGUCAGUAUGCCCUGAAUCCUCCGGGCUACACGCGCGCUACAAAGGGCUAGGGACAAUGAGCUUCAACACCGAGAGGGUGAAGGGUAAUCUCGAAACCUAGUCGUAGUUCGGAUUGAGGGUUGAAACUCACCC